Molecule: ribosomal RNA, 290 nt
Filed under: uncultured prokaryote
Description: partial 16S ribosomal RNA
Rfam family: Bacterial small subunit ribosomal RNA
Source: RNAcentral
UUCGGAAUAUUCGGCAAUGGACGCAAGUCUGACCGAGCGACGCCGCGUGCGGGAUGAAGGCCCUCUGGGUUGUAAACCGCUGUCACGAGUGAGCAAAUUGCUUAGUUUUAAUAAAAUUGAGCAUUGAGUUAAGCUCGAGAGGAAGCCCCCGCUAAUCACGUGCCAGCAGCGGCGGUAAUACGGAGGGUGCAAGCGUUAUUCGGAUUUAUUGGGCGUAAAGGGCGCGUAGGCGGCUUUUUAAGUCAGAUGUGAAAUCCCGUGGCGUAACUACGGAAGUGCAUUUGAAACUG